This 1018-nucleotide long non-coding RNA is filed under the name Rattus norvegicus (Norway rat). Its description in RNAcentral is "long non-coding RNA NONRATT024972". Lineage: Eukaryota; Metazoa; Chordata; Mammalia; Rodentia; Muridae. The record is from RNAcentral.
GGUUAGAGGUGGGAAAGGGUAGGAAGAAGAAUCUAAGGACAGGACCUGGAAGCGAGAUAUCUUCGAUUUUGAGAGACCCACUCUCUUGUCUCCUCAGAGUUAAAUAAAGACUCCAUCCAUCCGCUUGUCCUGCUGUUUGCAUGGUUAGUCCAGAGUCAAGAUCGUAUGGAAAUCUCAAACCCGAAACCUGGCUGGCCCUGGCGAACUUGUGAGGCGGAGGCCAGCGGGCUGCGGGGUUGGGGGAGGGGAGGGACAGGAAGGAGAGCGCCCCCAUUCCCAGCUGGGAGUCCAGGCGCCGGGAAACCACGGGAAAGUGCGGCGGGGACCGCGUGGCGGGGAGCCUACUCCGGAUCGAGAUUAUUCGACACGUGUCUUUUACUCCUUACAAUCCACUUCUUACGGGUGAUUUAUGAACGGACUUCUUUGAUCAGGGAUGGUUUUAUCUCUCCACUGCUACAAUUGACAGAUGCGGCUGCCAAAAUGCCUGGUCCUUGCUGCCUUAAAGGCUGCACCCCCACCCCUUCCCAAAUGUUGCAUUUUUCUCGGGCGAUCUCCAGCCGGGCCUCCAGGCUCUACUCCCCUACCCUCAACCCCGUUUGCUCUCUCAGCUGCAAUCCCAACCCCCCCGACCCCCCCAAGAUUUAAAUCAACAAAAACCGUUGGGACGGGUCAGUGGGGAGUCACGGCAAGCGGAUUUGGGGAACACCAUCUGCCCGGUGCUACAUUUGUUGCGUUCCCCUGCUAGAUACCCGGAAAGCUCGCUUCCAGGUGAAGCUUCCUGCCUUUGUAAGAAGGCAAGAACCUCUAGGCCCAAUCCCACUGGGCCUUGCUUUGUAGAAACGCGAACGCUGGAGCAGGAACGAAGAUGUGGUCAGCAGCCUCAGCCCGCCGGCCAGGGCUCCACACUACAACCGUUUUAGCUUAAUUGGGGUAAGAAGGGGCGGCAGGAAGAGGGAUGGGAUCACAUUACGGACCCUCCUAGUCCCUAAUAGGUAAAGGAAAAGCGGAAUCUCUGAAG